Molecule: long non-coding RNA, 1581 nt
Filed under: Anas platyrhynchos platyrhynchos (common mallard)
Lineage: Eukaryota; Metazoa; Chordata; Aves; Anseriformes; Anatidae
Description: lncRNA (ENSAPLG00000025710.1)
Source: RNAcentral
UCCCCGCAGGAGCAUGCCGUGGAGGUGGCAGGGCGCAGCGGCGGCCCCGAGGCAGAGCCGGGGGGGCCCUGGGACGCCGUCCGCAUCGUAGCACCCCGCUGCGAGGUGUACGUCUGCGUGGGCCGAGCCGACGGGGCGGCACGGUGAGUGCCACCAGCAGCCACCCCGCUCGAAUAAAACCCCUCAGAGCACUGCGGGGAGAGGGGAGCCAAGCCACAGGAGCAGGGGGACAUCGGGCGCGACAAUAGGGUUGAGCAAUCCCCUUCGCACGGGUUCCUCUGGGCUGUCCCAGGUGCUGGUGGCCGUCCCCGAGCUCUGCUGACCGCCGGCUGUCCUCUCUCCCCGCUCCACAGCUGGCAGCAGGGCAGGGCACGGCCCCCGCUCAGCCCCGGAGCCGAGGGCGAGCAUGGAGAAACCGGCACCAAACCCCGAGGCUGUGCCGAAGGCGGCUCCGCACUCGCCAAGGUGAGACAGGCGUCGUGGUGUGGGGUGUGCCGGUGUCCCCAGCCCCUCGUCACCUUGUCACCACCUCUGCCGGGCACGUUCAGGAGCUCCUUCAUCCCACAAAGCAGGCUCUGUCCCCAAAUUCACUGCUGGGUUCCCCUGUGUGGGUUUUCCUGCCCCACUCCCUCCCCUGCCAGCCGAUUUGGGGCUGAGCCCACCUUCUGCUCCUCUCCCGGUCCCGUUUGGCCAGCAGCUGUGGGCUGUAACCCCUCUUUGCCUCCUUCCAGCCCGCAAGCUUGCUGCCCCCACUGCAGAGACCUGCCCUGUCUUGUCUCCCAGGACUGGGAAAUGACCAGGCUGUGGGACAGCUCUUUGGGAUCGGGCAAACGGGACGCCAUGAGCCACGGGGGCCGCAAGGACGAGGCGCGGGCGCCGCAGGCAGACAGACCCAGGUGGGCUCAACCCCUUCCCUCUGGAUCCUGGGUGAGGACGGAGGCCCCGAGCUGUAGGAAAGAAAUCUGCCCGCUGAAAGCAGCCCGAGGUCCCGCCAGCCAGAAGCCUGAGGAGAGCCGGGCAAAACCCCGCACGGGGAGCUGCCGUUUCUCCCUGGAUCACCCCAAACCCGACCCUCCCCGGGCUCCUUCGCCAUCACCUCGCGGCCGCGGCUCCUCUCUGACCCCCGGCAGGUUCCUGGCAUCCUCCUCCCGUCCCGGGGAGCCCCACGGGCACCCCGGAGGCGCGGGCACGGAGGGGAGGCGCGGGUUGGAGCGGCAGGAGUACACGGUGCUGGCGGACCUGCCCAAACCCAAGCGCCUCGGCCGCGGGGACGCCGCCGAGCGCUGCGGCUCCCGCACCCUCAGCCCCGGCCGGGUGGAGGUGGAGAGGAUAUUCGGCUGCGAGCGCAGGUGAGAAAGGAGUGGGGAAGCUCUGGGGUGUCCCCAAAAGCCAUCGGGGCGUCCCCAGCUGGGGAUGUGCGGGGCUGGAGCCCGGCUCCUCGUGCCCGCAGGAAAUCGGAGACGCUGGAGGCUUUCCAGGCGCUGGAGGAGGGCCGCGUGGAGAGGCUGGAUGGGAAGACCCCGCUGCCACCCAGCAAAGGCCGCCUAGGUCGCAGGCAGUCCAGCCCCAGCCUGCCCAGGG